RNAcentral lists this ribosomal RNA (463 nucleotides) under uncultured soil bacterium. RNAcentral describes it as "bacterial SSU rRNA". It matches the Rfam family "Bacterial small subunit ribosomal RNA", at positions 59 to 519 of the family's 1533-position model. The record is from RNAcentral.
CAGUCGAACGGCAACGCGGGGCAACCUGGNGGCGAGUGGCGAACGGGUGAGUAAUAUAUCGGAACGUACCCUGGAGUGGGGGAUAACGUAGCGAAAGUUACGCUAAUACCGCAUACGAUCUAAGGAUGAAAGUGGGGGAUCGCAAGACCUCAUGCUCCUGGAGCGGCCGAUAUCUGAUUAGCUAGUUGGUAGGGUAAAAGCCUACCAAGGCAUCGAUCAGUAGCUGGUCUGAGAGGACGACCAGCCACACUGGAACUGAGACACGGUCCAGACUUCUACGGGAGGCAGCAGUGGGGAAUUUUGGACAAUGGGCGCAAGCCUGAUCCAGCAAUGCCGCGUGAGUGAAGAAGGCCUUCGGGUUGUAAAGCUCUUUUGUCAGGGAAGAAACGGCCUGUUCUAAUACAGUGGGCUAAUGACGGUACCUGAAGAAUAAGCACCGGCUAACUGCGUGCCAGCAGCCGCG